AGCAACUUUAGUUCCUAUUUCUCGAGUCCCUCUGCGGAAAAGUUCAAGCCCCUGAGAUAGGUGGGGUGGACGAGUGCGGCCAGGAGAGAGGAGAGAAGCCAGAAGUGCUCGUAAAGCUGCAAUUUGAUAGUCUCCCCAAAUACUGGUUGGUGACUUAGAAACUAAACUGCCUCUGCCAUCCUUGGCCCACCCUCCUUUAGAAGCAUUUCUGGUAACAUCCAA
RNAcentral lists this unclassified non-coding RNA (222 nucleotides) under Hevea brasiliensis (rubber tree). The record is from RNAcentral. Lineage: Eukaryota; Viridiplantae; Streptophyta; Magnoliopsida; Malpighiales; Euphorbiaceae.